This 442-nucleotide ribosomal RNA is filed under the name uncultured bacterium. Its description in RNAcentral is "partial 16S ribosomal RNA". It matches the Rfam family "Bacterial small subunit ribosomal RNA", at positions 338 to 795 of the family's 1533-position model. The record is from RNAcentral.
CCUACGGGAGGCAGCAGUGGGGAAUAUUGGGCAAUGGGCGCAAGCCUGACCCAGCAACGCCGCGUGAAGGAAGAAGGCUUUCGGGUUGUAAACUUCUUUUGUCAGGGAAGAGUAGAAGACGAUACCUGACGAAUAAGCCACGGCUCACUACGUGCCAGCAGCCGCGGUAAUACGUAGGUGGCAAGCGUUGUCCGGAUUUACUGGGGGGAAAGGGCGUGUAGCCGGGUUGACAAGGCAGAUGUGAAAUCCUGCGGCUUAACCGCAGAACUGCAUUUGAAACUGUUGAUCUUGAGUACAGGAGAGGCAGACGGAAUUCCUAGUGGAGGCGGGAAAUGCGUAGAUAUUAGGAGGAACACCAGUGGCGAAGGCGGUCUGCUGGAACGCAACUGACGGUGAGGCGCGAAAGCGUGGGGAGCAAACAGGAUUAGAUACCCUUGUAGUC